Molecule: ribosomal RNA, 407 nt
Filed under: uncultured bacterium
Lineage: Bacteria
Description: partial 16S ribosomal RNA
Rfam family: Bacterial small subunit ribosomal RNA
Source: RNAcentral
GACGAACGCUGGCGGCGUGCCUAAUACAUGCAAGUAGAACGCAGUUGCGAACGGGUGAGUAACGCGUAGGUAACUGCCUGGUAGCGGGGGAUAACUAUUGGAAACGACAGCUAAUACCGCAUACUACCAGAUGGACCUGCGGUGUAUUAGCUAGUUGGUGGGGUAACGGCGCACCAAGGCAACGAUACAUAGUCGACCUGAGCGGGUGAACGGCCACACUGGGACUGAGACACGGCCCAGACUCCUAAUGGAAGCAGCAGUAGGGAAUCUUCGGAAAUGGACGGAAGUCUGACCGCGCAACGCCGCGUGAGUGAAGAAGGUUUUCGGAUCGGAAAGCUCUGUUGUGAGAGAAGCGGUAACUGACCAGAAAGGGCCGGCUAACUACGUGCCAGCAGCCGCGGUAAUUC